GCCUGUUUGGCUCAGUGGAUAGAGCAUCAGCCUGCAGACUGAAGGGUCCCAGGUUCGAUUCCGGUCAGGGGCA
Molecule: transfer RNA, 73 nt
Filed under: Myotis davidii
Lineage: Eukaryota; Metazoa; Chordata; Mammalia; Chiroptera; Vespertilionidae
Rfam family: tRNA
About the family: Transfer RNA (tRNA) molecules are approximately 80 nucleotides in length. Their secondary structure includes four short double-helical elements and three loops (D, anti-codon, and T loops).
Source: Rfam by way of RNAcentral